UACGUAGGUGGCAAGCGUUAUCCGGAAUUAUUGGGCGUAAAGAGUACGUAGGUGGCAACCUAAGCGCAGGGUUUAAGGCAAUGGCUCAACCAUUGUUCGCCCUGCGAACUGGGAUGCUUGAGUGCAGGAGAGGAAAGCGGAAUUCCUAGUGUAGCGGUGAAAUGCGUAGAUAUUAGGAGGAACACCAGUGGCGAAGGCGGCUUUCUGGACUGUAACUGACACUGAGGUACGAAAGCGUGGGGAGCAAACAGG
Molecule: ribosomal RNA, 252 nt
Filed under: uncultured bacterium
Lineage: Bacteria
Description: partial 16S ribosomal RNA
Rfam family: Bacterial small subunit ribosomal RNA
Source: RNAcentral